RNAcentral lists this ribosomal RNA (673 nucleotides) under Scrippsiella trochoidea. RNAcentral describes it as "LSU rRNA". It matches the Rfam family "Eukaryotic large subunit ribosomal RNA", at positions 1 to 662 of the family's 3401-position model. The record is from RNAcentral. Lineage: Eukaryota; Dinophyceae; Peridiniales; Peridiniaceae.
AAGACAUGAAGUUAGGUCAGCAAACCCGCUGAAUUUAAGCAUAUAAGUAAGCGGAGGAAAAGAAACUAAAUAGGAUUCCCUCAGUAAUGGCGAAUGAACAGGGAUGAGCUCAGUAUGGAAAUUGGGGCCUGUGGCCUUGAAUUGUAGUCUGGAGAUGUACCACCAACUGGGGCGCAGAUGUAAGCCUCUUGGAAAAGAGCAUCAAUGAGGGUGAGAGUCCCGCUUGGCAUCUGCAGUCCCCAGUGCACGGUGUACCUUCUAAGAGUCACGUUCCUCGGGAUUGGAGCGCAAAUUGGGUGGUAAAUUUCAUCUAAAGCUAAAUAUUGUUUCGAGACCGAUAGCAAACAAGUACCAUGAGGGAAAGGUGAAAAGGACUUUGAAAAGAGAGUUAAAAGUGCCUGAAAUUGCUGAAAGGGAAGCGAAUGGAACCAGCGUAACUUGGUGAGAUUGCUGCGAAUCAAUGUGAUUGCUUGCUGCUUCAACGUAAGUGUGGUAGUAAGUCUUGAACAGGACAUGCGUGGUGUUUCUUGCCUUGUGUGUCACUGCCAGUUCAUAGCUGGGGAAAACUUCAGGGGCAUGGUAGCUUGUCUCCGGGCGGGUGAACGUGUCUGCUGGAACUCAUCUGUGGACUGAUUGGUGACUAAAUGGUUCCAUCUGACCCGUCUUGAAACAC